UAUCAUGUUCCCAUUUCAGUUCCUUUCAUUUGAUGGUUGCAACUUUCCACAAUUCUGAUCGCUACAGCAACACUGGAGUCCACCAUUGGAGUUGUCAAUUUCCAGGUAUUGACAAAGCAACCCAUCUAGAAUAACCUUGAAUUUGUUUUGAUCAAUUUGACUUUGCUGACAAACCCUCCGAUUACACCUUUAUCCAUCUUUUUUGGUAAUUUACAUGUUACGUUCUGAACCUAAAUUUACCGGUUUUCUAGUCUUUCGGAUGGGGACGUUAAACUGUUGGUUGCAUCAUGAGUAUGAAAAUAUGUGCAAAUUUGUGUGAUGUCACCUACUCCCAAGAUUAGGAGGUCAAGUUUUAGUAAAGGGGAAAAGUAAG
Molecule: long non-coding RNA, 373 nt
Filed under: Rosa chinensis
Lineage: Eukaryota; Viridiplantae; Streptophyta; Magnoliopsida; Rosales; Rosaceae
Description: sRNA RchiOBHm_Chr3g0492861
Source: RNAcentral